Molecule: long non-coding RNA, 377 nt
Filed under: Androctonus crassicauda
Lineage: Eukaryota; Metazoa; Arthropoda; Arachnida; Scorpiones; Buthidae
Source: RNAcentral
CGAUAAUAUUUGAACGAAAUCUGCUUCAUAGAUGCCAAAUCUCUCAAAAUACGAAGAGAUAUUAUGAACGGUGCUUCCUAAAUACUCUUAAAAAACUCAGAAAACAAUUAUUAUCUUAUCUGUAGUCUUUGCAGAUCCGAUGGUUUCAGAUGGCAGUAGUAAGUGUACCUUGUAGACGUGUGAAUGUGGACGCGGGUUCCCAGCGGGGUGUCCUGGCGUCACGACGUGGCGUCGCGGUGUUUGUUGGGGGUGGGCGCCCCCCGUGGAGGUUGUGGCGUGUCGCCGAUUGCAUUUUCGAUUGUGAGUGCCCACAGGGCUGUGGCGUGGCGAAUGGAGUUGCGUUGUGGCAUUUCGGUGAUGGUUGAACCUAUUUGGGC